Molecule: ribosomal RNA, 506 nt
Filed under: uncultured bacterium
Lineage: Bacteria
Description: partial 16S ribosomal RNA
Rfam family: Bacterial small subunit ribosomal RNA
Source: RNAcentral
AUUGAACGCUGGCGGCAGGCCUAACACAUGCAAGUCGAACGGUAGCACAGAGGAGCUUGCUCCUUGGGUGACGAGUGGCGGACGGGUGAGUAAUGUCUGGGAAACUGCCCGAUGGAGGGGGAUAACUACUGGAAACGGUAGCUAAUACCGUAUAACGUCGCAAGACCAAAGAGGGGGACCUUCGGGCCUCUUGCCAUCGGAUGUGCCCAGAUGGGAUUAGCUAGUAGGUGGGGUAACGGCUCACCUAGGCGACGAUCCCUAGCUGGUCUGAGAGGAUGACCAGCCACACUGGAACUGAGACACGGUCCAGACUCCUACGGGAGGCAGCAGUGGGGAAGAUUGCACAAUGGGCGCAAGCCUGAUGCAGCCAUGCCGCGUGUAUGAAGAAGGCCUUCGGGUUGUAAAGUACUUUCAGCGAGGAGGAAGGUGUUGAGGUUAAUAACCUCAGCAAUUGACGUUACUCGCAGAAGAAGCACCGGCUAACUCCGUGCCAGCCGCCGCAGUAA